UGGGGAAUAUUGGACAAUGGGCGAAAGCCUGAUCCAGCCAUGCCGCGUGUGUGAAGAAGGUCUUCGGAUUGUAAAGCACUUUAAGUUGGGAGGAAGGGCAUUAACCUAAUACGUUAGUGUUUUGACGUUACCGACAGAAUAAGCACCGGCUAACUCUGUGCCAGCAGCCGCGGUAAUAAAGAGGGUGCAAGCGUUAAUCGGAAUUACUGGGCGUAAAGCGCGCGUAGGUGGUUUGUUAAGUUGGAUGUGAAAUCCCCGGGCUCAACCUGGGAACUGCAUUCAAAACUGACUGACUAGAGUAUGGUAGAGGGUGGUGGAAUUUCCUGUGUAGCGGUGAAAUGCGUAGAUAUAGGAAGGAACACCAGUGGCGAAGGCGACCACCUGGACUAAUACUGACACUGAGGUGCGAAAGCGUGGGUAGCAAACA
RNAcentral lists this ribosomal RNA (427 nucleotides) under uncultured bacterium. RNAcentral's name for it is "partial 16S ribosomal RNA". It matches the Rfam family "Bacterial small subunit ribosomal RNA", at positions 355 to 774 of the family's 1533-position model. The record is from RNAcentral.